This 370-nucleotide ribosomal RNA is filed under the name Pseudo-nitzschia fraudulenta. RNAcentral's name for it is "partial Bacterial small subunit ribosomal RNA". It matches the Rfam family "Bacterial small subunit ribosomal RNA", at positions 56 to 419 of the family's 1533-position model. The record is from RNAcentral. Lineage: Eukaryota; Bacillariophyta; Bacillariophyceae; Bacillariales; Bacillariaceae.
UGCAAGUCGAGGGGUAACAUAGAGAAGCUUGCUUUUUUGAUGACGACCGGCGCACGGGUGCGUAACGCGUAUAGAACUUACCUUUUACAGGGGGAUAGCCUUUAGAAAUGAAGAUUAAUAUCCCAUAGUAUUGAGAACUGGCAUCGGUUUUUAAUUAAAGAUUUAUCGGUAAAAGAUGGCUAUGCGUCCUAUUAGCUAGAUGGUAAGGUAAUGGCUUACCAUGGCGACGAUAGGUAGGGGCCCUGAGAGGGGGAUCCCCCACACUGGUACUGAGACACGGGCCAGACUCCUACGGGAGGCAGCAGUGAGGAAUAUUGGACAAUGGACGCAAGUCUGAUCCAGCCAUGCCGCGUGCAGGAAGAAUGCCCUA